AAUGACUCUCGGCAACGGAUAUCUCGGCUCUUGCAUCGAUGAAGAACGUAGCGAAAUGCGAUACUUGGUGUGAAUUGCAGAAUCCCGCGAACCAUCAAUUCUUUGAACGCAAGUUGCGCCCGAAGCCAUUCGGCCGAGGGCACGCCUGCCUGGGUGUCGUGA
Molecule: ribosomal RNA, 162 nt
Filed under: Microlicia fulva
Lineage: Eukaryota; Viridiplantae; Streptophyta; Magnoliopsida; Myrtales; Melastomataceae
Description: 5.8S ribosomal RNA
Rfam family: 5.8S ribosomal RNA
About the family: 5.8S ribosomal RNA (5.8S rRNA) is a component of the large subunit of the eukaryotic ribosome. It is transcribed by RNA polymerase I as part of the 45S precursor that also contains 18S and 28S rRNA.
Source: RNAcentral